AGUGAACGCUGGCGGUAGGCCUAACACAUGCAAGUCGAACGGCAGCACAGUAAGAGCUUGCUCUUACGGGUGGCGAGUGGCGGACGGGUGAGGAAUACAUCGGAAUCUACUUUUUCGUGGGGGAUAACGUAGGGAAACUUACGCUAAUACCGCCUACGACCUACGGGUGAAAGCAGGGGAUCUUCGGACCUUGCGCGAUUGAAUGAGCCGAUGUCGGAUUAGCUAGUUGGGGGGGUAAAGGCCCACCAAGGCGACGAUCCGUAGCUGGUCUGAGAGGAUGAUCAGCCACACUGGAACUGAGACACGGUCCAGACUCCUACGGGAGGCAGCAGUGGGGAAUAUUGGACAAGGGGCGCAAGCCUGAUCCAGCCAUACCGCGUGGGUGAAGAAGGCCUUCGGGUUGUAAAGCCCUUUUGUUGGGAAAGAAAAGCAGCAGGUUAAUACCCCGCUGUUCUGACGGUACCCAAAGAAUAAGCACCGGCUAACUUCGUG
RNAcentral lists this ribosomal RNA (492 nucleotides) under uncultured bacterium. Its description in RNAcentral is "partial 16S ribosomal RNA". It matches the Rfam family "Bacterial small subunit ribosomal RNA", at positions 29 to 507 of the family's 1533-position model. The record is from RNAcentral.